Molecule: non-coding RNA, 105 nt
Filed under: Lysinibacillus sphaericus
Lineage: Bacteria; Bacillati; Bacillota; Bacilli; Caryophanales; Bacillaceae
Description: Lysinibacillus sp. SAM-I sequence
Rfam family: SAM riboswitch aptamer (S box leader)
About the family: The SAM riboswitch is found upstream of a number of genes which code for proteins involved in methionine or cysteine biosynthesis in Gram-positive bacteria. The SAM riboswitch acts at the level of transcription termination control.
Source: RNAcentral
CUCUUAUCAAGAGUAGCUGAGGGACUGGCCCUAUGAAGCUCGGCAACCUCCUUUUAGAAGGAAGGUGCUAAAUCCUGCAAACGAUUAUCGUUUGAUAGAUAAGAG